UACGUAGGGUGCAAGCGUUAAUCGGAAUUACUGGGCGUAAAGCGUGCGCAGGCGGUGAUGUAAGACAGUUGUGAAAUCCCCGGGCUCAACCUGGGAACUGCAUCUGUGACUGCAUUGCUGGAGUGCGGCAGAGGGGGAUGGAAUUCCGCGUGUAGCAGUGAAAUGCGUAGAUAUGCGGAGGAACACCGAUGGCGAAGGCAAUCCCCUGGGCCUGCACUGACGCUGAUGCGCGAAAGCCAGGGGAGCGAACGGG
Molecule: ribosomal RNA, 253 nt
Filed under: uncultured bacterium
Lineage: Bacteria
Description: partial 16S ribosomal RNA
Rfam family: Bacterial small subunit ribosomal RNA
Source: RNAcentral